GAAUAUGCUAACAGACACUCUAGGAUGCUGAGAGAAACGAUGAAGCAUUUCCAAGACCCUUGUACUCUUGAGCUGGUCUCUUCUGGGGUGUUCUGUAGGACUGGCUCUGUAUAAUAUGCCUGCCUCAGUGUUGGCAUCUGGAAGUCAUACAUUCAUGUAAGAAACAAAUUCUAAACUAGGCACAAGGCUCCAGGACCGUAAACUUGCAGGACAAGGAAGUAGCUACUAGUUCUCCAUCCUGAAGACCAUCCACAGAAACCACGUGCUGGAAUAUUUGAAUGACUAUUCCAAACUGUCCUUGAAUGGCUGUAUUUAUUUCUGAAUCCUUAUGCACAAAAGCAGCUGUAGAUAAUAAUUUGUAAGCAAAUGGGCCUACAACAUUACAAAUUGUGGUAGCCCUGCUGUCUUCACAGAAGAAUUCCAAC
This is a long non-coding RNA of Mastomys coucha (southern multimammate mouse), 425 nucleotides long. RefSeq lists it as uncharacterized. The record is from RefSeq and is a predicted model, not a curated record. NCBI's taxonomy places the organism in Eukaryota, Metazoa, Chordata, Mammalia, Rodentia, Muridae. The transcript has 3 exons.